AGAGCGAACGCUGGCGGCAGGCCUAACACAUGCAAGUCGAGCGCCCCGCAAGGGGAGCGGCAGACGGGAGAGUAACACGUGGGAACGUACCCUUUGGUUCGGAACAACACAGGGAAACUUGUGCUAAUACCGGAUAAGCCCUUACGGGGAAAGAUUUAUUGCCAAAGGAUCGGCCCGCGUCUGAUUAGCUUGUUGGUGAGGUAACGGCUCACCAAGGCUACGAUCAGUAGCUGGUCUGAGAGGAUGAUCAGCCUCACUGGGACUGAGACACGGCCCAGACUCCUACGGGAGGCAGCAGUGGGGAAUAUUGGACAAUGGGCGCAAGCCUGAUCCAGCCAUGCCGCGUGGAUGAUGAAGGCCCUAGGGUUGUAAAACUCUUUUAGAUGUGACGAUGAUGACGGUAACAUCAGAAAAAGCUCCGGCUAACUUCGUGCCAGCAGCCGC
Molecule: ribosomal RNA, 444 nt
Filed under: uncultured bacterium
Lineage: Bacteria
Description: SSU rRNA
Rfam family: Bacterial small subunit ribosomal RNA
Source: RNAcentral